Molecule: ribosomal RNA, 465 nt
Filed under: uncultured bacterium
Lineage: Bacteria
Description: partial 16S ribosomal RNA
Rfam family: Bacterial small subunit ribosomal RNA
Source: RNAcentral
GACGAACGCUGGCGGCGUGCUUAACACAUGCAAGUCGAACGGAAAGGCCCCUUUGGGGGUACUCGAGUGGCGAACGGGUGAGUAACACGUGAGUAACCUGCCCUUGACUUCGGGAUAACUUCAGGAAACUGGGGCUAAUACCGGAUAGGAAUCCUUUCUUCAUGGUGGGGGUUGGAAAGCUUCGGCGGUUUUGGAUGGACUCGCGGCUUAUCAGCUUGUUGGUGGGGUAGUGGCUUACCAAGGCUUUGACGGGUAGCCGGCCUGGGAGGGCGACCGGCCACAUUGGGACUGAGAUGCGGCCCAGACUCCUACGGGAGGCAGCAGUGGGGAAUAUUGCACAAUGGGCGGAAGCCUGAUGCAGCAACGCCGCGUGCGGGAUGACGGCCUUCGGGUUGUAAACCGCUUUCAGCAGGGGCGAAGCUUGUGGUGACGGUACCUGCAGAAGAAGCACCGGCUAACUACGUG